AUUCUUUAGGGGAACUGGCUCCCCAAAUUAUGGAUUAUGUGAAGAUCCAGGUGUAAGCUGAAGAACUAAGGAAACUGGUAGCAUGGUUCAGUUCAAGUCCCAAAUCCUCAGACCCAGAAGAGCCAAUGAUGUAACUAAUUCCAAGGCCAAAUGCUUGGGAAAUUGGUGAGGUGAGGAUAGGGGGUUUGAUGUUAUAAGACCCAGAGUCUAAAGACUAGACGGAUGGAUGGAUAGAUAGAUAGAUAGAUAGAUAGAUAGAUAGAUAGAUAGGUAGAUGAUAGAUGAGAGAGAGAGAGAGAGAGAGAGAGAGAGAGAGAGACAUGGAGGGAGACAGGAACUCUCCUACCUUUCUUCUUUCUUUUUGUUCUAUCUGAGCUCUUAGUUGACUGGAUGAUGGCUACCACACUGAGUGAGGGCAGAUCUUCCUUACUCUGUCCACUAAUUCAAAGACAAAUCUCUUUCAGAAACACCUUUGCCGACAUACCCAAUAAUGCUUUACCAUCUGGUUUCUCUUGAGUCAAGUUGCCACCUAAAAUUAGCCAUCCAAAGGAAAAAACGGAGGGGCAGGGGGCUCACACACUCAUUCAAAGAAAAAUCAUGAUCCUUAUUCAAUUCCUAGAUUUGAGCUUGUUUUCAGAGCGACAACCCAUUAACUAUAGAACAGGUUCUAGGUUGAAGGACAUUGUAAUGCCAUUGCAGAUGUACUGUAAUGAGGAUUCUGAGACACUUCAGACUGUUGGAUACAGGAUCUGAGCAGACACUGGGAGUCAGAGACCUAUAGCAUCAUCAUCACCCCUCUCUCAGAGGGGCUUGUGGGGCUAAAGUCUAACUUACAAUGCAUCCACUGGGUCCACAGCCCCACCCAGUGGUCAUUUCUCUGCUCCUUAAAUGUAUGAUUGGGAUCUCCAUACUUUAUGGUUGCAGUAGCCCUCUCACCAGGUUCUUGGCCUGUGGGUAAGGUCAAAAGAUACCACAGUGGAAGGUCAAGUGAAGCUCUGAAACCGCCUCUCUCCUUUCCCUACCUCAGCCCAAAUAAUAAAGAAAAAUCAACAUCAAGUUCCUGAAGAAACUAGAAGAAUGCUGGAGAAUGACUGAAAAGUGACAAGUUAAACCUAAUAUUAGCCCCAACGACAGUUGCUAGGUCAGUCUAGAAUAUAUAUGUUGCUAGAACGUAUGAGUGUAUGAUACACGUCUCAGCGUCUUCUUAAAGGAUCCACACUAUUGAUGAAAUAAAUUCUACUGAGAAAAGAAUUUCAGGUUUUGCUACAGGGACCCAAAUGGCCAAGACAAAUGUGUAAAUAGAAACCAAAUUAGAGUGGAAACAAGAGAAAAUAAAAAUGUACUUGAAAAGAGCUAGGUGAUGACUCAUUUAAGGUGUUUUGCCAUUUGAAGAGAAUAAGGGGUUGGGAGGUACC
This 1415-nucleotide long non-coding RNA is filed under the name Marmota monax (woodchuck). Lineage: Eukaryota; Metazoa; Chordata; Mammalia; Rodentia; Sciuridae. The record is from RNAcentral.